CAGCAGCCGCGGUAAAACGGAGGGCGCGAGCGUUACCCGGAUUUACUGGGCGUAAAGGGCGUGUAGGCGGCCUGGGGCGUCCCAUGUGAAAGGCCACGGCUCAACCGUGGAGGAGCGUGGGAUACGCUCAGGCUAGAGGGUGGGAGAGGGUGGUGGAAUUCCCGGAGUAGCGGUGAAAUGCGCAGAUACCGGGAGGAACGCCGAUGGCGAAGGCAGCCACCUGGUCCACUUCUGACGCUGAGGCGCGAAAGCGUGGGGAGCAAACCGGAUUAGAUACCCCCGUAGUCCCUGUCUCUUAUAC
Molecule: ribosomal RNA, 301 nt
Filed under: uncultured bacterium
Lineage: Bacteria
Description: partial 16S ribosomal RNA
Rfam family: Bacterial small subunit ribosomal RNA
Source: RNAcentral